UCAUAUGCUUGUCUCAAAGACUAAGCCAUGCAAGUCUAAGUACAUGCUUUAACAAAGCGAAACCGCGAAUGGCUCAUUAAAUCAGUUAUGGUUCCUUAGAUCGUACUAUCCUACUUGGAUAACUGUGGUAAUUCUAGAGCUAAUACAUGCAGCAGAACUCAGACCUUCGGGGACGAGUGCUUUUAUUAGACCAAGACCAAUCGGGCUUCGGCUCGACACCCAUGGCGACUCUGGAUAACUUUGGGCUGAUCGCACGAUCUCGUAUCGGCGACGUUUCUUUCAAGUGUCUGCCUUAUCAACUGUCGAUGGUAGGUUAUGCGCCUACCAUGGUCGUAACGGGUGACGGGGAAUCAGGGUUCGAUUCCGGAGAGGGAGCCUGAGAAACGGCUACCACAUCCAAGGAAGGCAGCAGGCGCGCAAAUUACCCACUCCCGGCACGGGGAGGUAGUGACGAAAAAUAACAAUACGGGACUCUUUUGAGGCCCCGUAAUUGGAAUGAGUACACUCUAAAUCCUUUAACGAGGAUCCAUUGGAGGGCAAGUCUGGUG
Molecule: ribosomal RNA, 548 nt
Filed under: Flavonuncia sp. Mad9a
Lineage: Eukaryota; Metazoa; Arthropoda; Arachnida; Opiliones; Triaenonychidae
Description: SSU rRNA
Rfam family: Eukaryotic small subunit ribosomal RNA
Source: RNAcentral